RNAcentral lists this long non-coding RNA (1191 nucleotides) under Brassica napus (rape). RNAcentral describes it as "long non-coding RNA (BNAP_LNC025214)". The record is from RNAcentral. Lineage: Eukaryota; Viridiplantae; Streptophyta; Magnoliopsida; Brassicales; Brassicaceae.
GGCCGCAAGAUCUGUUAGCAAGUUCUCUAGUCCUAAACAUCUAAAACGUUAAACUUAGUUAAGUCACAGCUCGAUAACAAAAACGAAAUUGCCUAAAACUGCUCCAAGUGUUAAGUUGCUAAGAAAUUUUUUGUCUCUUUUGUCCUCUUUGCCUAGGUCCUCUUUAUAUAUGCCUCCAAGGUCGGUCGUCUUUCUUCUCCCGCCCAGAUUCAAGUUAUCCUUUUGCAUAGAUCAUUCAUUAUCUUCUCAGAAUCCAUGUUUAUCUUGGAAACUUCACAUUUAUCCAACUUUCCCAUCUUUCUUUAUCCAAGUCGAGUAAAUCGUCAUUGCUAUCCGGACACGUUCUUAUUUUAAAUCUUAAGUAGGGUUCUUUCUCAGGAAAUCGUUAAUUUGUCCGACAUACGUUUUUAUGUCAUUGGUCCUACAAAAUGAUAAAAACCAAUUCAUUUAGUAAAAACUACGAUGAUGUUAAGUUAUUCUCGACUCGACUUUUGACUUCAAUUUUUACGAGAAAACACAUGUUGCUUAUUUUCUUCAUAAAAUCUCAACGAAAAAUCCGAUUGCAAUGAAACGAAAGACAUUUCGAAAUAUUUUCAAAGGAGAACAUGAUGGAGACUUCAAAGGGCGAUGAGGGUCCCCAUUGCGCGACAAGGAUCCAAGAGAGAGCCAUUGUGUGACGAGGGUGAGAAAAGCGACAUGGAGCUAAGUGGGAGCCAUUGGGCGAUGGGGGUAUAUGAGAAGGGCGAUGAGGAGCUGAGAGAGAGCCAUUUCGUGACGGGGGUAUAUGAGAAAGGUGAUGAGGAGCUGAGAGAGCCAUUGGGCAGCGAGGGUAUAUGAGAAGGGCAAACUGGAGCAGAGUGAAAGGCCAUUGGGCAAUGGGUAGUGUUAGAUGGGCGAUGAGGCCUUUCUCCUAUUCUCAUUCCCUCCGUUGAUUGUUUCGUAUACUCUUGGAACCAUUUUUUUUGUUUUACGAAAAUUUUUCCAUAAAGAUUUUCUGAAAGUUGUUUUGCGAAAGAUUAUCUUAUAGAUUUUCCUAUAAGGUUCUUUCUUGGAAACUUUCUGAUUUUUUUCACCGAAGAUUAUUUCGUAAAACUCGUCCUUUCUCACAAAAACUUUUUGCAAGAACGUUGUUCCAAUAUUUUAUGUUUGGAUAGAAACUCUUUCAUCCCUUGUCUGGGAUGGAGUUUUGUU